Molecule: ribosomal RNA, 450 nt
Filed under: uncultured bacterium
Lineage: Bacteria
Description: partial 16S ribosomal RNA
Rfam family: Bacterial small subunit ribosomal RNA
Source: RNAcentral
GUGGGGAAUUUUGGACAAUGGGGGCAACCCUGAUCCAGCCAUGCCGCGUGCGGGAAGAAGGCCUUCGGGUUGUAAACCGCUUUUGUCAGGGAAGAAAUCCUUUGGGUUAAUACCUCGGAGGGAUGACGGUACCUGAAGAAUAAGCACCGGCUAACUACGUGCCAGCAGCCGCGGUAAUACGUAGGGUGCGAGCGUUAAUCGGAAUUACUGGGCGUAAAGCGUGCGCAGGCGGUUUUGUAAGAUCGAUGUGAAAUCCCCGGGCUCAACCUGGGAACUGCAUUGGUGACUGCAAGGCUGGAGUGCGGCAGAGGGGGAUGGAAUUCCGCGUGUAGCAGUGAAAUGCGUAGAUAUGCGGAGGAACACCGAUGGCGAAGGCAAUCCCCUGGGCCUACACUGACGCUCAUGCACGAAAGCGUGGGGAGCAAACAGGAUUAGAUACCCCUGUAGUCC